Molecule: transfer-messenger RNA, 361 nt
Filed under: Planctomycetales bacterium
Lineage: Bacteria; Pseudomonadati; Planctomycetota; Planctomycetia; Planctomycetales
Rfam family: transfer-messenger RNA
About the family: Bacterial tmRNA, also known as 10Sa RNA or SsrA, is named for its dual tRNA and mRNA-like properties. Its role is to liberate the mRNA from a stalled ribosome.
Source: RNAcentral
GGGGGCGAAUUGGAUUCGACCGGGUAGGUUGAAGUGUCAGUGGCGUGUCGUGGUUGGUCAGCAGGCCACGUUAAAAGCCGACCAAAAAAUUUAUUUGCCGAAGGUAACUUCGCAAUGGCCGCCUAGCAUGGCGACCCCGGUUGAUGGCCUUCGCCGGAGAGGCUUGAAAACCGGACAGCAAUUCCGGAUCGCCUUGGGUCGUGUCGAGCACGCCCGAGGUUAAAAACUGCUCUCGGCUAGUUCAAGAAGCACCCUGUCGAUUGGGGGCCGAUUGAGCGAAACACCAAAUAAUCGACUACACACGUAGAAGCUGCCAUGGAAAUACCGCGGGACGCGGGUUCGAUCCCCGCCGCCUCCACUU